Molecule: ribosomal RNA, 253 nt
Filed under: uncultured bacterium
Lineage: Bacteria
Description: partial 16S ribosomal RNA
Rfam family: Bacterial small subunit ribosomal RNA
Source: RNAcentral
CACGUAGGGGGCAAGCGUUGUCCGGAAUUAUUGGGCGUAAAGAGCGUGUAGGCGGCCCGAUUAGUCCGCUGUGAAAGUCCAGGGCUCAACCCUGGAAUGCCGGUGGAUACUGUCGGGCUAGAGUCCGGAAGGGGCGAGUGGAAUUCCUGGUGUAGCGGUGAAAUGCGCAGAUAUCAGGAGGGACACCAAUAGCGAAGGCAGCUCGCUGGGACGGUACUGACGCUAAGGCGCGAAAGCGUGGGUAGCAAACAGG